AUUGCAAAACACCAUAAUGUCUUUUUGACUUACUUCAAGAUCACCAAUAAGACCUUUAAGCCAUAAAGCUUCUUUCACAGCUUCUAUAGCUGCCAUAUACGCUGCUUUUGGAGUUGAUAAGGCAAUGGUAGAUUGUAAAGUUUUGCACACAAGCUUAUAACACUACCUCCAAGUGUGAAAACAUAAUCAAUUAAUGAUCUCCUACGAUCAAGAUCAACUACAUAGUCUGAGUCACAGAAUCUAGUAACAUGAUUAUGAACUUCAUUUAUUCCUCUGCCAAAUACCAAUCCCAUAUCAGUUGAACCCUUCAAGUAUAUGAGAAUCCAUUUCACAACUUGCCAAUAAGCCUUCCUUGGAUUAUCCAUAUAAUGACUAACAACACUCACUGCAUGUGCAAUAUCUGGGGUCUCAUACAAAUCAUGGCAUACAUCAGGCUUCCAAUUGCAUUAAAGUAAGAUUGCAGGGUGUGGGAGAUCACAGAGGGGACAAGGAGGAAGAGAAACUUAAGUAAUUUGGCCUAUAGUCUGAGAUAGGAAUCCCUCACUGGCGUGACCAUCACCAUCAUGCCAAAUGUCUGAUAGCUUAGAGUAUGAAAUAAUUUCUGAGAACUGCCAAAGAAACAAAUGGAUCAAGUGGCAUUGGCAGACAUACCCUACUUCUGCUCUUCCCUUAUCAUCCCUUGUGUUGAAUUCUGUGCUUAAUUAGAAACUCACUGAAACAAUGAUAGUGGUCACUAGUAAUGUUCUGCAUGGACCACUGUACUGCUAUGUCUUAUGCCAUUUUGAUGCUCGAUGCUUCAAUUAAUUAAAUACGUGCUUCCUCUUGAAGUGAUCA
Glycine soja is the source of this 834-nucleotide long non-coding RNA. RefSeq lists it as uncharacterized. Lineage: Eukaryota; Viridiplantae; Streptophyta; Magnoliopsida; Fabales; Fabaceae. The record is from RefSeq and is a predicted model, not a curated record. The transcript is spliced from 2 exons.